Molecule: non-coding RNA, 881 nt
Organism: Camellia sinensis
Lineage: Eukaryota; Viridiplantae; Streptophyta; Magnoliopsida; Ericales; Theaceae
Source: RefSeq, a predicted model, not a curated record
CACGCUGCCAUAUUUUUUUUUAUAGUGAUGGUUUGUACUCAACCGUUACAAAAACCCAAGCAAAAUAAACGCCCGCCAAAUUCAAUUCUCAUUUCGCGCAGAAUCAAAUUUUUUUUUUUUGGGUGGGUUUGGGUGAAUAACAUAUCAGAAUUUCAAUCCACAAAAAAAACCGUUCAACUCACAAUUUGUGCCCUAGUCUAUCAACACUUCUUUUACGAAGUAUCAGAGCCUUCCUUCAUCCUCUCCUGCGGCGUAUUGACGACAUCAAGCUAUACAACAUCACUGUGAUUUCAAGGACUCAAAGUAGCUUCAAAGUCACGAUUUAGCCGAUGCAGUGAAACAAGUGAAGGCAAAGUGUAGAUUCAAGGAGCUGUUGAUAAUGGUUGACACUUGCCAAGUUGCUACUCUCUUUGCUGGUAUGGAGUUUGGGGAGUAGAGCUGUUAUGGGCUGCUGAUUUAGAGCUCUUUGCUGCUGACCUGGUUUUGCUCUGGGCUACUGGCGACAGAUGUAUCUAGUGGCAUUCUAAAAAAGGCUUCUCCACAAACACAUCAAAGAUUCUCUUUUGGGAGUCAUGAAAUGCGACCUUCUAAUCAGGGUAAGUCAUCAUUACAAUACACAUAUAUUGACACAAAUUUAGAGCCAUUGUUAAUGACUUCUUUACCAAUAAAUUGUUAGUUAGUUUGGACAAAAUUGGGAUUUGAUAGGUUGACUUCUCUACUUUGCUUCCUUUAUUGGCAUCCGUAAAAAUACCAAACAAACCAGUGAAAUAGAGAAUUGGGCAAUCGAACAAAUAUGAAUAUCAAUGUAUCAAACUGUAAUAUACAAUUAAAAAUAGACCCUUGGAUGUUGCUAUUGGUUGCUUGAUUUGGUGGCUGCUACU